This is a long non-coding RNA of Oryza sativa Japonica Group (Japanese rice), 153 nucleotides long. RefSeq lists it as uncharacterized. NCBI's taxonomy places the organism in Eukaryota, Viridiplantae, Streptophyta, Magnoliopsida, Poales, Poaceae. The record is from RefSeq and is a predicted model, not a curated record.
CUUGCUGAUGUUCUUGAUCUUGACAGCACUCCGGACUUGCUUCCCAGGCUCAUCUGUAGCAAUCAGUAUCAAUUCCGGCAAAAUCAGACACAAGCAAAGAGUUUUUGAAAGAGAAAAAAAAACAAGAAGCCAAUUUUCUUAGCGGAAACAGAA